This 220-nucleotide non-coding RNA is filed under the name Aneurinibacillus sp. XH2. The record is from RNAcentral. Lineage: Bacteria; Bacillati; Bacillota; Bacilli; Caryophanales; Paenibacillaceae. RNAcentral also lists the same sequence under 1 other name.
AAUAUAGGUAAGCUUUAUGGUGUGUUUGCAUGAUUUUUUAUCUUACUAAGAGAUCAGGUAAACACUUAAAAGGGAAGACCGGUGAAAGUCCGGCGCGGUCCCGCCACUGUGAACGGGGAGCAACUCUUGGAUUCACCACUGUUUCAUAAGACUGAAAUGGGAAGGUAUAGAGAAGCGAUGAUCCGUAAGCCAGGAGACCUGCCAUAAAGAAAGCACCGUU